AUACGUAGGUGGCAAGCGUUGUCCGGAUUUACUGGGUGUAAAGGGCGUGUAGGCGGAGAUGCAAGUCAGGAGUGAAGUCUAGGGGCUCAACCCCUAAACUGCUUUUGAAACUGUAUCCCUUGAGUAUCGGAGAGGCAGGCGGAAUUCCUAGUGUAGCGGUGAAAUGCGUAGAUAUUAGGAAGAACACCAGGGGCGAAGGCGGCCUGCUGGACGACAACUGACGCUGAGGCGCGAAAGCGUGGGGAGCAAACAGGAGUAGAUACCCUGGUAGUCCACAAUGUAAACGAUGAAUGCUAGGUGUAGGGGGUAUCGACCCCUUCUGUGCCGCAGUCAACACAAUAAGCAUUCCGCCUGGGGAGUACGGCCGCAAGGUUGAAACUCAAAUGAAUUGACGGGG
Molecule: ribosomal RNA, 397 nt
Filed under: uncultured bacterium
Lineage: Bacteria
Description: partial 16S ribosomal RNA
Rfam family: Bacterial small subunit ribosomal RNA
Source: RNAcentral